Molecule: ribosomal RNA, 465 nt
Filed under: uncultured Klebsiella sp.
Lineage: Bacteria; Pseudomonadati; Pseudomonadota; Gammaproteobacteria; Enterobacterales; Enterobacteriaceae
Description: bacterial SSU rRNA
Rfam family: Bacterial small subunit ribosomal RNA
Source: RNAcentral
CCUACGGGCGGCUGCAGUGGGGAAUAUUGCACAAUGGGCGCAAGCCUGAUGCAGCCAUGCCGCGUGUGUGAAGAAGGCCUUCGGGUUGUAAAGCACUCUCAGCGGGGAGGAAGGCGUUAAGGUUAAUAACCUUGGCGAUUGACGUUACCCGCAGAAGAAGCACCGGCUAACUCCGUGCCAGCAGUCGCGGUAAUACGGAGGGUGCAAGCGUUAAUCGGAAUUACUGGGCGUAAAGCGCACGCAGGCGGUCUGUCAAGUCGGAUGUGAAAUCCCCGGGCUCAACCUGGGAACUGCAUUCGAAACUGGCAGGCUAGAGUCUUGUAGAGGGGGGUAGAAUUCCAGGUGUAGCGGUGAAAUGCGUAGAGAUCUGGAGGAAUACCGGUGGCGAAGGCGGCCCCCUGGACAAAGACUGACGCUCAGGUGCGAAAGCGUGGGGAGCAAACAGGAUUAGAUACCCGUGUAGUC